GAGCGAUCCCCGUCGCGCGCCAGGCAGCCAGGCCCGGCCCGGAGCCCGCGCCACGUGGGGGCGGAGCUGCCCGCGGCCACCACUUCCUGCGAGCCGGGGAUACCCCUCCCGGACGUCACGGAGGAGCCGAGGCGGCGGUGGCGGCCCCGGGGCUCAUCCUGCACUUGCAUCACGGGUGCAGCAGCAGCUGCUCUGCUUCUUUGUGGCUUUUUUCCCCUGUUGAGUAACUGCUUUGUUCACUGAAAAUACCAUGACGGGCCAGUGUGAUCACCAGCUCCCAGACCUCAAAGAAAGUGAAGCUGUCAGGCAAGAAGAGGGAGACCCCCCUCCCCUCCGCACACCCGGGCCGGCGGCUGGUUUAUUCGCCUGACAAACUGCAAACUUCAGAAGCAAGCCCCCUCACCCCUUUGAAAUUUCUGUGACAUCUAAUGUUCAACACAAACAGGAAUACUACUGAUCGGUCACUACUACUUAUCUCGGAGGCUGCUGUGAAGCUACCCAACAUCGAAUAAGGCCACACUCAGCUUAGGCACCAAGAGACAUUCCUGUCCCUCUCCCGUUCGAGUGAAAGUUUCUAAUGAAGCCAUUCCACCUCUCUGUGAACUUACUGAAAGGCCUUGCAUCAAGUGUGGCUCUCCCUAAUUACAUAGAAAACAACUUCUGGAGUUCAUAACUAUGUAUCAUACUUGGUGAGUGAUGGGAGAGGAGGGAUUCGAUGGGGUCACCACUAGAAAAAUGAGACAACUGCAGUGUCACCGGAGUGGAAAUUACUUGAAAGACUUUUUCUCCCUAUCAAGAUUGGCAAGUGUAUUUCGGACCCCAAGUCCGUGGCUAGGCCACACCGACUAGUUGUGGCUGUCACUCGCGUUGUACCCAAACUUAGUUUGUUCUCUUUUUCAAGACAGGGUUCUAGAUGGUUGGCAUGGGGAA
This is a long non-coding RNA of Erinaceus europaeus (western European hedgehog), 930 nucleotides long. RefSeq lists it as uncharacterized. The record is from RefSeq and is a predicted model, not a curated record. Lineage: Eukaryota; Metazoa; Chordata; Mammalia; Eulipotyphla; Erinaceidae. The transcript has 4 exons.